RNAcentral lists this ribosomal RNA (2602 nucleotides) under freshwater metagenome. RNAcentral's name for it is "bacterial LSU rRNA". It matches the Rfam family "Bacterial large subunit ribosomal RNA", at positions 15 to 2608 of the family's 2925-position model. The record is from RNAcentral.
CGGGCAUGUGGCGGAUGAUCUGGCGCUGGAGACCGAUGAAGGACGUAGCACGGCUGCGAUAAGCUCCGGGGAAUUGCCAAGCAAGUUACGAUCCGGAGAUUUCCGAAUGCGGAAACGCCUUCAGGGUUAUACCUGAAGACCUGCAACUGAAUACAUAGGUUGCAGGAGGGAACGGGGACAACUGAAACAUCUAAGUAGCCCCAGGAAGAGAAAGAGACAUCGACUCCCUCAGUAGCGGCGAGCGAACGGGGAUCAGCCCAAACCAUCAGGCUUGCUUGAUGGGGUUGUGGGACCUCUGAGAGUUACAAAAGGCAGGUUAGCAGAACCAUCUGGAAGGGUGGGCCAUAGCGGGUGAUAGCCCCUUAUGCGAAAACCGAGCCUCUCGUUGAGGAGGAAUCCCGAGUAGGGCCAGUCACGUGGAACCUGGCUCGAAUCAGGGCGGACCACCGCCCAAGGCUAAGUAUCUUCCAGCGACCGAUAGCGUAAGAGUAGCGCGAGCGAAUAUUGAAAAGUACCCCUGUCAGGGGAGUGAAAUAGUACCUGAAACCGCAUGCCUACAAGCAGUUGGAGCCCUAUGUUUACAUGGGUGACAGCGUGCCUUUUGCAUAAUGAUCCGGCGACUUAAUGUAUACAGCGUCAGGUUAAGGCCUUAUGGGCCGAAGCCGUAGGGAAACCGAGUGCGAAACGCGCGACAUAGUUGUAUGCAUUAGACCCGAAUGCAGAUGAUCUAACCAUGGCCAGGGUGAAGCGAAUGUAAAAAUUCGUGGAGGCCCGAACUUGUGUGGGUUGAAAACCGCUGAGAUGAGCUGUGGUUAGGGGUAAAAGGUCAGUCAAAUCUGCGGAUAGCUGGUUCUCUCCGAAAUAGCUUUCGGGCUAGCCUUGGAGUAUAACCGUCGCGGGGGUAGAGCUACUGUAGAGGAUAGGGGGGCUUCCCGUCUACCCUACCUCAACAAACUCCGAAUACCGUUGACGCUGCUCCGGGAGUCAGUCUUUGGGGGAUAAGCUCCAUAGACAAAAGGGAAACAACCCAGAUCGCCGGCUAAGGCCCCAGAUUCAUGCUAAGUGCCAAAGGAAGUGGGAUUGCACUGACAGCUGGGAUGUUGGCUUAGAAGCAGCCACCAUUUAAAAAGUGCGUAAUAGCUUACCAGUCGAGCCGUCCUGCGCCGAUAAUUACCGGGACUAAGCAUGAAGCCGAAGCCGCGGACUUACAGAUCAUGUGAUCUGUAAUUGGUAGGAGAGCGUAGCACAUUAGGUUGAAGCGGAACCGACGAGGAUCCGUCGACGACGUGCUAGUGAUUAUGCCGGAAUGAGUAGCGAUAAAACGGGUGAGAAGCCCGUUCGUCGUAAAUCUAAGGUUUCCUGGGCAAGGUAAUUCCUCCCAGGGUCAGUCGGUCCCUAAGGCGAGACCGAAAGGUGUAGUCGAUGGGUAACAGGUUAAUAUUCCUGUACCGGUUGUAAACGAUCAAGACUCAGAGGGGGGACGGAGGAGGCUAAGCAGGCCGGCGGAAGCCGGUGAAAGCGCGUAGGUAGAGGAGCCAGGUAAAUCCGGUUUCUCGUUUAACUGAAACGCGAGACGAGCCCUAGUUGGCGAAGCUGUUAUGCCCGACUCUAUAUAAAAUCCUCGCUGAGAGUUUGCAACCGACCGUACCGCAAACCGACACAGGUAGGUGGGAUGAGUAUUCUAAGACGCUCGGAAGAACUGCUGUUAAGGAACUCGGCAAAUUGACCCCGUAACUUCGGGAUAAGGGGAGCCCUCCUUGUGAGGGCCGCAGAGAAUUGGCUCAUACGACUGUUUAUCAAAAGCACAGGUCUGUGCAAAGUCAAAACGACGACGUAUACAGACUGACGCCUGCCCAAUGCUGGAAGGUUAAAGGGAGGGGUUAGCCGCAAGGCGAAGCUCCGAACCCAAGCCCCAGUGAAUGGCGGCCGUAACUAUGACGGUCCUAAGGUAGCGAAAUUCCUUGUCGGGUAAGUUCCGACCCGCACGAAUGGUGUAACGAGAUGAGCACUGUCUCAACAGCAGAUCCGGCGAAAUUGCAAUCGCGGUGAAGAUACCGCGUUCCCGCAGUAGGACGAAAAGACCCCGUGAACCUUUACUGUAGUAUAGUACUGGGCCCUAACUUUGCAUGUGUAGGAUAGGUGGGACGCUUUGAAGCCGAAGCGCUAGCUUUGGUGGAGCGGUCGGUGAAAUACCACUCUUGCACCGUUGGGGUUCUAACCUGGUGCCGUGAAUCCGGGCCAGGGACCGUGCUAUAUGGGCAGUUUGGCUGGGGCGGUCUCCUCCCAAAAAGUAACGGAGGAGUCCAAAGGCUCCCUCAACACGGUUGGCAAUCGUGUGUCGAGCGUAAGGGUAUAAGGGAGCUUGACUGCAAGACAUAUAGGUCGAGCAGAUGCGAAAGCAGGGCCUAGUGAUCCGGCGAUCCCGUGUGGAAGGGUCGUCGCUCAUCAGAUAAAAGGUACUCCGGGGAUAACAGGCUUAUCUCCCCCAAGAGUUCACAUCGACGGGGAGGUUUGGCACCUCGAUGUCGGCUCAUCACAUCCUGGGGCUGGAGCAGGUCCCAAGGGUUCGGCUGUUCGCCGAUUAAAGUGGUACGCGAGCUGG